Molecule: ribosomal RNA, 616 nt
Filed under: Acanthurus xanthopterus (yellowfin surgeonfish)
Lineage: Eukaryota; Metazoa; Chordata; Actinopteri; Acanthuriformes; Acanthuridae
Description: partial small subunit ribosomal RNA
Rfam family: Bacterial small subunit ribosomal RNA
Source: RNAcentral
CAGAUAAUCGGCGUAAAGAGUGGUUAAGUAAUACAUUUCACUAAAGCCAAACACCUUCAAAGCUGUUAUACGCACCCGAAGAUCAGAAGCCCAAUCACGAAAGUGGCUUUAAACCAACUGAACCCACGAAAGCUAGGGCACAAACUGGGAUUAGAUACCCCACUAUGCCUAGCCUUAAACAUUGAUGAUAUCUUACAAUUGUCAUCCGCCUGGGAACUACGAGCAUCAGCUUAAAACCCAAAGGACUUGGCGGUGCUUUAGACCCACCUAGAGGAGCCUGUUCUAGAACCGAUAACCCCCGUUCAACCUCACCCUUCCUUGUUCUUCCCGCCUAUAUACCACCGUCGUCAGCUUACCCUGUGAAGGAUUAACAGUAAGCAAAACUGGCAAAGCCCAAAACGUCAGGUCGAGGUGUAGCGUAUGGAGGGGAAAGAAAUGGGCUACAUUCACUAAUUCAGUGCACACGAAUGACACCCUGAAACACGUGUCUGAAGGAGGAUUUAGCAGUAAGCAGAAAAUAGAGUGUUCUGCUGAAACUGGCCCUGAAGCGCGCACACACCGCCCGUCACUCUCCCCGAGCUAAGAUUCUCAAGUAAGUAAACACCUAUAACUGCAA